GCUGGGCGUGGUGGCGUGUGCCUGUAAUCCCAGUUACUCAGGAGGCUGAGGCAGGAGAAUUGCUUGAACCCAGGAGGUGAGGUUGCAGUGGGCUGAGAUCACCCCAUUGCACUCCAGCCUGGGUGACAGAGCGAGAGUCUGUCUCAA
Molecule: non-coding RNA, 147 nt
Organism: Pan troglodytes (chimpanzee)
Lineage: Eukaryota; Metazoa; Chordata; Mammalia; Primates; Hominidae
Rfam family: Metazoan signal recognition particle RNA
About the family: The signal recognition particle (SRP) is a universally conserved ribonucleoprotein. It is involved in the co-translational targeting of proteins to membranes.
Source: Rfam